This 253-nucleotide ribosomal RNA is filed under the name uncultured bacterium. Its description in RNAcentral is "partial 16S ribosomal RNA". It matches the Rfam family "Bacterial small subunit ribosomal RNA", at positions 524 to 776 of the family's 1533-position model. The record is from RNAcentral.
UACGGAAGGUGCAAGCGUUAAUCGGAAUUAUUGGGCGUAAAGAGCUCGUAGGCGGUUUGUCGCGUCGGAUGUGAAAGCCCGGGGCUUAACCCCGGGUCUGCAUUCGAUACGGGCAGACUAGAGUGUGGUAGGGGAGAUCGGAAUUCCUGGUGUAGCGGUGAAAUGCGCAGAUAUCAGGAGGAACACCGGUGGCGAAGGCGGAUCUCUGGGCCAUUACUGACGCUGAGGAGCGAAAGCGUGGGGAGCGAACAGG